GACUUUCUUGAUGGUCACGCUUGUGCUGGUGCAAGUUUUGGUUCAGCUGGAAAAGUCUUGGCUGCUACAUUCGUCAAUGCAUUUGUCAAUGCAGGCUUGCACCAGGUAUUGUUUGCAAACAUAAAAAUAUGAAAGCAUAGGAGCUUAGUUGUUUUAUAUCAGUUAAUAUUUUUCUCUUGCAGGACAAGUUAAUGACAGUCCCAGCAGACUCUUCAAGUGGUGGUUCAUCUGGAAAUUGCAAAAACAAAGAACAUGGGAAGAGCAGUGCUGAAGCAAGUUUGGGCAUGAUUCUAUUGUGGGAUGUCGACUUUGGGCUUGCUCAUAUUCACAAGUAUAUCCAUAGCAAUGAUAACUUAGUGAUUGCUGGAGCACUAUUAGGAAUUGGACUCGUCAACUGCAAUGUUAAUAAUGAUCUUGAUCCAGCAAGGGGAAUUCUGCGCGAAUACAUAGGUAAUGAAGAUUCUUCAAUCCGAAUUGGCGCAAUUAUGGGUUUGGGAAUUGCAUAUUCAGGUGCCCAAAAUGUCAAUUCGUUUACUGGAGCGUCUUUUGCAGUACAGUGAACUGAAUAUCAGGCGUGCAGUUCCUUUUGCUCUUGGUCUUCUGUGUAUAUCAAACCCAAAGGUACCCUUGUUAAAUUUUGCUGAACAACUUAUUUCACUAUUUGCUAACCCAGCUCCAAAAUCCUAGAUUUAAGUUCAAUAUGUUUAGAAAGCUGCAGAGAGAUUAUUUAUCUUCUUUUCUUUUUUAAAAGACUCUAUCUCUCACUAUUUUUUACUGGUUGUGCAUUUAUUCUACAGGUUAAUGUGAUGGACAUUUUAAGUAGGCUUAGUCAUGAUACAGAUUUAGAAGUUGCAAUGGUAAGACGGUAAUAGUAGACUCUAAGUUAUUGUUCUUCCCCUCAGCUUGCACUAAUGUAUGGAUGCUACAGGCUGCUGUUAUCUCCUUGGGUUUGAUAGGCGCUGGAACCAACCAUGUUCGCAUAGUUUUCAUGCUUGGCAAUCUUUCAAGUUAUUACUAUGGAGUUGAUUGCCUUUUAUUCUGUGUACAAAUUGCUCAAGGUUAGUACAUUUGGGGAAGGGUUUAUUGACACUAGAUCCCUACCAUUGUGAUCGCCUAUUACUAUCACCGUAAGUAGUUGUUCUACAUACACGAGCCUUCACUGAAAUGAUAAAAUAAGAUUCACAAAAUGAUAUAGGUUCACAGUCAACUUGGGGGGAGUGGUUUUCUUUCCGUAAAAUGCUAGUAUGUGCUUCAUUUUAGUUGACCUUGUAAAAACAUGAUUUUCUUUUGUUAUCAAGCAGGACUGCUUUUGCUGCUUUGAUUAUAAUGCUGCAUGCAUGUCUUGAUAUGAAAACUAUCAUAUUGGGGAAAUACCCUUUUGUUCUUUACUUCCUUCUUUUGGCGAUGCGGGUUCGU
Hibiscus syriacus is the source of this 1416-nucleotide RNA transcript. It is a transcript of the gene named 26S proteasome non-ATPase regulatory subunit 2 homolog B-like, with no coding region annotated. The transcript has 5 exons. The record is from RefSeq and is a predicted model, not a curated record. NCBI's taxonomy places the organism in Eukaryota, Viridiplantae, Streptophyta, Magnoliopsida, Malvales, Malvaceae.